GGGAGUUUUAUUAGCUGUGAGAUGACACCAUAGAAGGCUACAAAUCAUUUAAUAGUGGGAGGGGGUCGGGACACAAGGACGGGGAGGGGGUGAGAGGAGCGGGAGGUGAAAUAAUUGGGUAACAGGAUUAUGGAUGGGAGUUUUAUUAGCUGUGAGAUGACACCAUAGAAGGUUACAAAUCAUUUGAUACUAAUUGGGAGGGGGCCAUUACAUGAAGAGGGGGUAGGGAC
Strongylocentrotus purpuratus (purple sea urchin) is the source of this 230-nucleotide long non-coding RNA. RefSeq lists it as uncharacterized. The record is from RefSeq and is a predicted model, not a curated record. Lineage: Eukaryota; Metazoa; Echinodermata; Echinoidea; Camarodonta; Strongylocentrotidae. The transcript is spliced from 3 exons.